Small nuclear RNA from Onychomys torridus (southern grasshopper mouse), 107 nucleotides. NCBI's taxonomy places the organism in Eukaryota, Metazoa, Chordata, Mammalia, Rodentia, Cricetidae. The record is from RefSeq and is a predicted model, not a curated record.
GUGCUUGCUUCGGUAGCACACCUACUAAACUUGGAACGAUACAGAGAAGAUUAGCAUGGCUCCUGUGCAAGGAUGACAUGCAAAUUCGUGAAGUGUUCCAUAUUUAA